UGGAUGACUUCCUGCAGCAGACUAACAAGUGGUGCUCUCAAGGAUUACGGAAAUUGUGGAGAGAUGGCAAGAUAGAUGGGUGGAUAUAUGAUCGAUAUGGAUGCUGGCCCAUUAUCAUUUUUGUUGGUGGAACUGAUUUUAGCUGCAUGAAACAAUGCCUUUCUUCUGAACUGAAAGCUCCUGCGCAGCCCAGCCCACCCAGACACGAAGGGACAGGGACAAACCAGGGCGCUACAGAAAACGGGGUGCCUGCUUUUCUGUCGGCCUCAUUUUACAAAGGAGUCUUUGAAUCAUGGAGAAAUAAGAUGGCUUGCUCCGUGUCCCUUGGUGGAGUCCAGCUCUGCACACCCAUCCAAUCUGAUGCACGCAGAACCAGCACAAGACAAGGAGGACCAUAGCAGAUAGCCCCAGUUUCCUGAAAUGCUAUUAACAACAACGUGACUAAUUCACACAUCCCUCCUGAAGACCCGCCUGAUGAUAGGAAGUCCUGUGGCUGGGAGGGUUUGAACUAGGGUUGUCAAAAGUUUUGGUUAAGGGAAGGUUGGUCCACAUGGCUUGGCUGAGUGAUGCUUCGCUUCUGAACAGCUCCAGACUCCAGAGAGUGGGUUUCUCAUUUUGCAAAGUAAUUAUCUCCUGCUGGCUUAUAGGAAGUUUCUGUAGGAUCUCUCUCCAUUGAAGGUCAGAUUUCAUGUACCUUUUGAGAUCCUAGAACCAGGGUUCUGCUGUGCUAGAAAAGCAGAAUGGAGAAGACUAUAUGAGGUUAGCAACAUCUGAGCAAAACAACGUUUAUGGCUCAGACAGCAAUUCCAAUUAUCCAGCACUUAGGCAUCGAGAAGAUUCAGAUAAGAGGUCUCAGAUUUAGCUCCUCUCUUCUCUCUGCAAGUUAAUGUGCCACUUUUCUUCUUCUUUUUUUUUUAAGCAGACAAUCAAAUCUGUGAUAGCAAAUUUCAAGUUAAAAGGAAAAGAUUCUCUCUGCAGAGAAUGGAAAGAACCAUUUUGGAUCUAGGGUGAGUUUUGUGAUCCACCUGAAGCAUGGGUAGCUGUCAUUAUACACAUAUUAAACAGAAGCUAGUGAGCUUGUUGCAAGAGUAGCUGGAUAAAAUCCUAUGUUUUUUUAAUAAAAAUA
Grus americana (Whooping crane) is the source of this 1126-nucleotide long non-coding RNA. RefSeq lists it as uncharacterized. NCBI's taxonomy places the organism in Eukaryota, Metazoa, Chordata, Aves, Gruiformes, Gruidae. The record is from RefSeq and is a predicted model, not a curated record. The transcript is spliced from 3 exons.